Marmota flaviventris (yellow-bellied marmot) is the source of this 258-nucleotide non-coding RNA. Lineage: Eukaryota; Metazoa; Chordata; Mammalia; Rodentia; Sciuridae. The record is from RefSeq and is a predicted model, not a curated record.
GAGGCUGCUCACACCCUGUGCAGAAGUCAGUCCCCAACAGGACACAGCAUGGACAUGAGGGCUCCUGUUCAGCUCCUGGGGCUCCUGCUGCUCUGCCUCCCAGGUGCCAGAUGUGACAUCACGAUGACCCAGUCUCCAUCCUCCCUAUCUGCAUCUCCAGGAGACAGAGUCACCAUCACCUGCAGGGCCAGUCAGAAUAUUAACAGUUGGUUAGCUUGGUAUCAACAGAAGCCAGGGCAAGCUCCUAAGCUCCUGAUA